GACGAACGCUGGCGGCGUGCUUAACACAUGCAAGUCGAACGGAAAAGCCCUGCUUUUGUGGGGUGCUCGAGUGGCGAACGGGUGAGUAACACGUGAGUAACCUGCCCUUGACUUUGGGAUAACUUCAGGAAACUGGGGCUAAUACCGGAUAGGAGCUCCUGCUGCAUGGUGGGGGUUGGAAAGUUUCGGCGGUUGGGGAUGGACUCGCGGCUUAUCAGCUUGUUGGUGGGGUAGUGGCUUACCAAGGCUUUGACGGGUAGCCGGCCUGAGAGGGUGACCGGCCACAUUGGGACUGAGAUACGGCCCAGACUCCUACGGGAGGCAGCAGUGGGGAAUAUUGCACAAUGGGCGGAAGCCUGAUGCGGCAACGCCGCGUGCGGGAUGACGGCCUUCGGGUUGUAAACCGCUUUCGCCUGUGACGAAGCGUGAGUGACGGUAAUGGGUAAAGAAGCACCGGCUAACUACGUG
This 468-nucleotide ribosomal RNA is filed under the name uncultured bacterium. RNAcentral describes it as "partial 16S ribosomal RNA". It matches the Rfam family "Bacterial small subunit ribosomal RNA", at positions 28 to 507 of the family's 1533-position model. The record is from RNAcentral.